Molecule: long non-coding RNA, 470 nt
Organism: Rosa chinensis
Lineage: Eukaryota; Viridiplantae; Streptophyta; Magnoliopsida; Rosales; Rosaceae
Exons: 3
Source: RefSeq, a predicted model, not a curated record
CCGCCAGCUUGUCCUUAAUCUGCAAAAUCAUAAAUCGUGGUUUUUAUGUCAAAUUAUUCUAACUAAUGUAAUGUUUGAAUAAUCCAUUGAAUCCUUGAGCAAAUUUGGCAUGAGGUUUGGUGCAUUGGAAUCAAGUUUGUCAUGGAACCAUCUGCAUAACUGCAUUCAUAUGGAAAGAAAUCUAAGGGACAGUUCAUCACCCAAGAUUCCAAGAAGCAUCAAGAAUUUUUGAUAAUGUCUACACUCAAUGAGUCUGCUAAAGGGUUCUCGGCAAAUCACUUCCAGGAUAUAACAAAGUUUGAAAUCUGCGAUAAGCAAAAUCGAAGAAUUCCCUUAGAAACUACUAGAAGGAAAUUGUAUGGUUAUAAGAGAAGAAGAUGGAGAAGAGAGAAGUUAAUUGCAGAAUGAUUUGAUGAUUGAAUCUAGUGACAUGUACUGUUGUUUAUAUAGAGAUCAAGAAGUGCCAAAGA